Molecule: ribosomal RNA, 262 nt
Filed under: uncultured prokaryote
Description: partial 16S ribosomal RNA
Rfam family: Bacterial small subunit ribosomal RNA
Source: RNAcentral
UACGUAGGGUGCGAGCGUUGUCCGGAAUUACUGGGCGUAAAGAGCUCGUAGGUGGUUUGUCGCGUCGUCUGUGAAAUUCCGGGGCUUAACUUCGGGCGUGCAGGCGAUACGGGCAAUACUUGAGUGCUGUAGGGGAGACUGGAAUUCCUGGUGUAGCGGUGAAAUGCGCAGGUAUCAGGAGGAACACCAAUGGCGAAGGCAGGUCUCUGGGCAGUUACUGACGCUGAGGAGCGAAAGCAUGGGUAGCGAACAGGAUUAGAUA